AAAUGUGAAGGCAGCACACAUCGCACAGAGCCGCUUGGCCACCCAUGCGCCUAGAAGCUGCAAGGGCCUGGCGGCUGCUUCCUCAGAGCUGCGGUAAGUGCUGCUCGGAUCCCGCAUCCCCAUCACCUGCCCCAGCCCGGAGUCCCCUCCCGUAUCCCAAACCCCUCAUCUCUGGCCCCACCCCCGAGCCCACACCCCCAGCCGGAUCCCAUAUGCCCUCCCGCACCCUAACCCUCUGCCCCAGCCUAGUGAAAGUGAGUGAUGGUGGGGAAGAGUCAGCGAUGGAGGGAGGGGCAUGGAGAGACUGGGAGGUGAGUCUGGGAGAAGGGGCGGGGCAGAGCUGUUUGGUUUUGUGUGAUUAGAAAGUUGGCAACCCGAAAUCUGUCACCGCUAGCUCUGGGGGAAAUGGUGUCAGCGACACACGUACACAUACACACACUCAGGAACAAUCCUAUGGAGCUGUGAAUUGAGUGCCGGAGGAGUGGUGCUGUUUACGUGUAUGGUGAGUGUGGCCAUAGGGAAGGGCUGGGCUGAUGCGGGCAUGGUCAGCAAGGAUGUUGAUUCCAGAGGCUGUGGGGGGAAGGUUUUAGUCCAGUAAUGGCUGCAGCCGGGGUAGCCAAUAGGCGCCAAAUCUGCACUGCCAGAUGCUUUUAAAAGGACCUUGAAAUCUUUGUAUUUACUAAUUAUUAUCAGUUUUUUUUUUAAUUAUUUUCUCUGGAAGCUGGACCUUGACCAUAAACAAUUGACUUGACUAUGCCCGGCCUGAGGUGAGUGGGCUGGUGUUUUGGAGCUGGUUCCAGGGGGAAGGGUUUGGGUGACACACACAGCGAUCAGGACGGUGUGUUCUGCAGGGGAAGGGUUUAGCUGACGCACACUGCAAGGCGGGCUAUGAAUCAGGGGAAGGGUGUGAGCGAUGCACGGGGUGGUCAGGGUUGUUGGUUCCGGGGAAGGGGGCCGGGUCGCUCCGAUGUCAUCGUGCUGCGCGCGAAGGGCCGGUUCUGAUAUGUCCGCGCUAGGCGGAGGGUGCGGGCGGAGGCGGACUCGGCGGGGCUGCGGGUAUUUCGGUCUGAGCGCCCGCUGCUUUCAGCCCUGCCCCGGGCGGGGCCCCGAUCGAGCUGUUCCACCCCCCGCUAGGGCCGCCCUGCUGGCGCCCCGGGCCGGUUGUGCUGGCUGCUCGCGAGCCGCGCGGUCCUGUCCUGAUACGCUCUGGCGCUUUCCCCCGUUUUCUUGUAGCUGUAAUAGCCGGGCCGGCAGGGAGACUCUCCGUGCCAAAGGAGAGGUCUUCAGGAGGAAGUUGUUAGAAAACAGGCUUCAUAAUGGAAACCGUGUUGCAGUUUCAACCUUGCUAUUGCUGUCAGCUAGCGUAACUGGAGAAGUAAUGACACGGUUCCGAAGAUGCCGAAGUAUUUCCAAUUUGAUUUCGACUGGCCUUUGGGGAUGUUGAAGAAAAAUUUAAUGUUGUUCAACAUUGUGCAAGCUGUUCAAAAGAAAAGUGGAGAAUUUGAUGUAAGAUUUAUAUUUCUGCUUCUGCAUCGUGGUCUAUGAGAUUAGGAGUGUGUCACUGUAUUGUGGCUCCCACUGGCAAGUGAAAAAAUUCCUGGUCUACAACAGUGUUAAAUUAAGCCAAAUACUUAUUUUAUUAGACUUCUCUAAAUCUAAUGUGAAUUAGAAGCACAAUGCUUAACAUCUUUAAGAUAUUGAACAAAUAUUAAGGCUCACAACCUCUUUAAAGUUGGUACUGCAGCUAUGUCUUAUCCUCAUAUUUGCAGAUGGGAAACUGAAGCAAAGACAUGCAGUGACUUGCUCAAGGUCACUCACUGAGCUUUGUGUGUAUAUAAAAAGAUCUUCUACACUUUCCACAGUAUGCAUCCGAUGAAGUGAGCUGUAGCUCACGAAAGCUUAUGCUCAAAUAAAUUUGUUAGUCUCUAAGGUGCCACAAGUACUCCUUUUCUUUUUGCGAAUACAGACUAACACGGCUGUUACUCUGAAACCUGUUUACAUUAUGGAGACUGCACGGACAUAGCUGUGGUGCUGUAGCUAUGCUGGCAUAAUCCCAUAGUGUAGAUGCAGCCUACACUGAUGAAAGGGGUUUUUCUGUUGUCAUAAGAAUACCACCGCCCCAAGCAACAAUAUGUGCAUCUUCACUGGGGUUUAGGUUGGAGUAACUAUGGUAUUUAGGGGUGUGGAUUUUUCACAGCCUUAAUUUUAAGUGUAGACCGGGCCUUAGUUAGUGGCAGAGCCAGAAAUAGAACCCAGGAGUUCUGGCCUUUAGCUCCCACGCUCAUUCUAUAUUAAUCAUAAUGUAGAACUUGGAUUACUUUACCAAAAUUGAUUUUUGGUUUCUGAGUGGCAGUUCAUACAAAGGUAACUAUUUUUCAUAAAACCCAGCCAUUUCUGAGUUAAAGUGGAUGAAAGGAAGGGUGUCUUUACUUGUAAACAUUUUGUAAGUUAUAUUUGUGUUUUAAAAGUGAGUUAAAUGACAAGUGUUGUUACCUGUCACUUCAUUUACAACCCCAAGCACUUAAGAGUGAAGAAAUUAAUAGCUGCAAGAUACUGUAAAUCUUGCUCCUACACAUAUGAGAAAAUAAAUGUUAUUUUCAAAUAGAAAUGCAUAUUUCAUUAUAACACAUCAACUUGAAGUCUGGUUUGUUUUAUUAAUGCUUUUUAAAAAUAUUUUGAUAAGUACUUUCUUCAGAUUCCCUUAAAUGGGAAAACUUUGUGUUCUUUAUCAGUUGGCAUCAGUAUUUUUGGGUGAAGUGUUUCUAAUUUUUGUUUCUUGAGAAUGAUGUAUGUAGCUUAAUAGGAAAAGUGUGUUCUGUGUUUGUACAGUGCCUAGCCCAAUAAGGUCCUGGUCCAUGACAGGGGCUCCUAGCUGCUACAGGAUUACAAAUAAGUAAUAAAACAGUAUUGAUUUAUAAUAAAAUUAAGAAUGUAUGUGGACUUGCAUUUGAGACUGAUUAAUGUGUUACUGAUGCCUUUGUUUUUCAGACAUGUUUAUAUUUUGAGACUGGUGAUGAAAGAAUAUUGAUUUUUGCUUUGGAGCCAAGGUAGCUGUGAUAUGUUGCAAUAGACAUUUAUCAUAUUUAAUAAACACGUUACUCUCAAGUGGGAGUGUAAAAUGGGAUAAUCUCUAGACUAGUAAAUAUUGUUUUGAAGGGCUUUAGUGUAGUAAGUGAUAUAACAGGUAUGUACAGUGUUGUCAUUUUUUGUACCUUUUACUGCUUUUUUUAAUGAGAUUUUGUUUUUGCAUGUUUUAACAUCUUCCAGGUUUUUUAUUUUUCUUGUAGUAAAUUAACAUAAUUUUUAAAUAAAUGGGAAGGAGAAACAUGGGACUCAGUGGCCUUUUUUCCUAAUUCUGAAAGAUGCUGUGAAAAAAGCGAACCAAACACCUUCACCAUCUCGUGACUCUGUCUUGAGCAAUUGCAAUUCAGUGACCUACUGUGAGUUAAACAGUGUUAGUAGGAGUCUAUUACACUUGCCUAAAACUACUGUUGCUGUGGAAUAUAAUCCAAAUUUUGGGCUGAAUAUGAACUAUUAUAGGAUCAAAUUAAUUAAUUGUUUACUUUAAAUCCAACCAUAAAUUCCAAAGUGGAUUUUCUUUCAGGCUGCAUCCUAUCCAUAAAUCCCAUUCAUUGCCAUACUGGCUAAAGCCCAACUCAGCUGCAUUCAAAGUAAUUUUUUGCAGUUCCUUAUGCUUUUUUAAGUCAGCUGAUAAUUGACAGACUGUUACAAAAUCUCCUCUCAGAUAGGGCAUGGGAGGUUUUGUGGCUUUUGUAUUUUGAAUCUUGCAACUGUGGGCCUGGUUAGCCAUGAAAGUCACUCAGUGUAUUUUGUGUUCAGGAGGGAAUUAUCAUGGCAAGGUCUGAGUGAGUUUGCUGUGAAUAGCUGCUUAUAUAUUUUCUGACCUCUUGUUAUGUUCUCGUGCUUCCUUGCACUGGCUAAGGGUGGCUAGUCAACAGAUCAUGUCUGGAUUUUGCCUAGACAUUUGGUGGGCAUUACCAGUCAGUGGUUGAACUCUUUGCAGAGGUGGUGGAAGAAGUAAACAAGUGUCUUUUGAAAGAAAUUACCAGAGUCCGCACCUACAGUUGCAGGUAGGGUUAUAGCACAUCAUUGGAAGAAUGCAACCUCAACUGCCUUGAAAGGGAACAGGUCACAUUUAAACCUAAGCAUAGGCAAACUCCUCUCUCUCUUUUUUUUUUUUUUUCCUUCUUGGCAUCCCACAUGGUAGAUUAAAAAUUCCCAACCAGCAGAUAGGGAACAGGACAAAAGUAAAACCUGUGACCACUUAAAUAGCCACAUGAACAUGCUAAUUUUUCCUGUUACAGCAAGUGCAGAGAGCUGAUUUUGUUGAAGGACAGUGACAAUAGACAGGAACGUUUAUUGUCUUCAACUGAUAAAGACCAGAGGGGCUUCAUAUAAUCCAGGAGGCUUUCCUCUCUGUUUGGGGUACUGAGAUAGGAAGGAAAGCUUAAAAGUGUGUGCUGUAACAUGUGUAAAUCUUUUUGGUCAGUGUCCACAAACAUGGAUGCUCAGUGACCAGUUUCUGCUGAAUUGAUUAUGGAAGGGUACAUUGUGGUGGUUUUCUGCCUGGCGGAUCUGUGACAGUGUCAGAGCGGCCUCAACCUACCACAAAGAGUAUAAAGGAGAAGGACAGUCAUGAAAACUUUUCCAGAACUUUUCAGUUUUCAGUUAUUCUUCCAGCUCCUACAAGGCGGACCUGCCUCAUAAGUUUAAGUCUGUAGAGACAGGUGAUCAUCUGUCUCACAUGAUGACAAGCAGUACUGAGGGGUGUGCAAACCCCCGUGAUGGAUUUAUUGUCUUACCUAGGAGAAUAGUAUGGUUUGUGUCUUUUUCUUAUUGUGUCUUCCAUCUCCAGGUGAUUCCUGUACCACUCUCUCUUGUGCUACUGAAGACAUUAAAGAGUCCUUUAUUGUACAAGCGCAAGAACAAUGGAUCGAAUUACUAGAAAUCUCAGAGCACUUGGAUAUCACGCAAAUUAGUCACCUCUCUGCUAUACAGUGUCUGUAAAUAAAGCUCAGAAGCCAGGGGGAGUCAGAAAUGUCUGAGGAAGUUUUGGAUGAUGGCAUCGUACCAGACAUCGUAGAGUGAAGUUCCCAGAUAUGGCUCAAUUCUGAGAAUCCAUGAAUCUCUGGGGCAGUCCUGCAGGUGAUGUCAGGCAAGACAUAGACUUCAUUCAAGAGGCAGUGAGACCAUUCGUCAGUGGAUGUCCAGUUUGCUGCGACCAUUUGAACUCGUCCCCACCUGCACCAGGGUUUCUGGUAGCCCAGCUCUGAGGCCUGGUCUACACUACAGAGUUUGUUUGUUUGCAAGGCAGCUUAUGUUGACCUAAUUCUGUAAGCAUCUACACUAAAAUGUUGCUCCCACCGAUGUAACUCGCCCUCUCCACUGACUUAGUAACUCCACCUUCACGAGAGGCAUAGUGCUUAGGUCAACAUAGUUUGGUUGACACAAUAUCAGUGACACUGCGUUACUUAUGUCUACAUUAGUGGCUUCCAGGAGGUGUCCCAUGAUGCCCCAUCGUAACUGCUCUCGUCACCUUUUAGAACUCCACUGCCUGGCAGUCAGAUGCGCAUGUACAUGCCCCUCCCCCUUUAAAGCCACACAAAUUUUAAAUUCUAUUUCAUGUUUGGUUGGUGUGGAGAGCUCACAUAGCAACUGCCCAGAUGACCAUGCUAGCUCCACGCAGCAAACGUGCUCUUGCCUGGAGUACACAGCAGGUGGUGGAUCUCCUCGGUCUGUGGGGAGAAGAGGCGAUGCAGGCACAGCUCUGAUCCAUCCGUAGAAACGUUGACAUCUAUGACCAGAUCACUUGGGGCAUGGGGGAGAAGGGCUACAAAAGGGACGUGCAGCAGCGCCGUGUAAAAAUCAAGGAGCUGCAGCAGGCGUACCAGAAGGCAAGGGAGGCAAACUGUCACUCUGGUGCGGAACCGCAGACAUGCUGCUUCUACAAGGAGCUGCAAGCCUUCCUUGGUGGAGACACCACCACCAAGAGCCCCAUGGAUACUUUGGGGGAGCUGAAAUCAGAGGCCCCUGCAGUCACAACAAGCAGGAGGAGUUUUGGAGGACAGGUGAAUGGGGGAAUCCAGUGGCACAGUGAGCCAGGACCUCUUUCUGACUGCUGGAGCAGUUGAGCAAGUCCCUACUGUCCAGCACCGGUGAGCCUGAUGCAGGGGUUGGAACCUCUGCUGGAAAUUUGGCCUUGAGGGUCCCUUCAUCCACACCACUGGAACAGCUCAGAUGAUGAGAAGAAAGGGGAUGAGGGAUGACAUGUUCCAAGAGAUUCUGCAAGCCUCUGGUGUUGCACAUAUUGAGCAGAGGGCUUGGAGAAGCACCCUUGGGGACAGAAUGGAAAGAGAUAGUGCAGAGAGGAGUGACACACGCAGCAGGUCAUGAUAGCGCUUCUCAAGCUCCAGAUGGACAUGCUGGAGAUUCUUAUAGACCUUCAGGUCCAAGUAACCCUUGCUUGCCUCCCGCUGCAGUCUGUUGAUAACUGCAUUCUGGGACCUCCCUACACUCCCGGCCCCUACAUUCCACAUAUAUUUCUGGGCCAUUGCAGUACCCCUACCACUCCACCCCGAGGGAGAGUACACACAAUCCGAGCUGAACAUAUACUGACCUAUGAGAGACAUGUUGGUGUAUUUGUGUUUGAAAUGAGAAUGACUGUUCUUUCUCCUUCAAAGGUUCUUUUCCCUGUAUUUAUAUAGUUUCAUUCAGUUACAGUUAUUUUUGUUUGCAUAAGUUUGGAAUAAAAGUCUAUUUACGGAAA
Molecule: long non-coding RNA, 6787 nt
Organism: Chelonia mydas (Green sea turtle)
Lineage: Eukaryota; Metazoa; Chordata; Testudines; Cheloniidae
Exons: 6
Source: RefSeq, a predicted model, not a curated record